Long non-coding RNA from Quercus robur (English oak), 569 nucleotides. RefSeq lists it as uncharacterized. Lineage: Eukaryota; Viridiplantae; Streptophyta; Magnoliopsida; Fagales; Fagaceae. The transcript is spliced from 2 exons. The record is from RefSeq and is a predicted model, not a curated record.
GAAUGUUAGUUUUCCCACUUGUGGAGCAAUGGUUCCUGAAAGACCCAUGUGAGAAAGAUUCAAGGCAGUGACUCUAUGGUGUUUGGCACCACAAGUGAUCCCAAUCCAGUUGCAAACAGAGGUAGAGGUAGACCAAUUGCUUGCCAAGGUUUUGUAAGGGUCAUCAGUGAUAUGGUCUUUGAGAGCAAGGAGAGCUGAUUGGUCUGUGGUGAUGUUGGUCCUCGCUGCCACAGUUGUGCUAGCCAUUAAACAGUGUACCAACAACAACACAAAAAAGACGAGAAAGGAAGAAAUCUUCAUGAGUUUCUACUUUCUAUCUGUCGGUUGAUUUGUGAGGCCAACUACUAUUGUAUCAAACAAGUGUGGCUGGAUGAUACUUUUAUACAUGGAGAUCUCAAUUGUUGUUGAAUUACGAAGAAAAAGAAGAGGGCGACUAAAUCAACAUUCAAUUUUUUUUGUAGUCUUCGUCUUCCUAAGAAAAGGAUAGGGAAAAGGACAACUUUUUGUUUUUUUUAUUGUUUUUGCUGAAAAGAAAGAUGCAUGUUACAUGCAACAUAGUUCAUGGCCCA